RNAcentral lists this ribosomal RNA (489 nucleotides) under uncultured archaeon. Its description in RNAcentral is "bacterial SSU rRNA". It matches the Rfam family "Archaeal small subunit ribosomal RNA", at positions 333 to 823 of the family's 1478-position model. The record is from RNAcentral.
CAGCAGGCGGGAAAACUUUACAAUGCGGGAAACCGUGAUAAGGGAACACCGAGUGCCAGCAUCAUAUGCUGGCUGUCCAGAUGUGUAAACUACAUCUGUUAGCAAGGGCCGGGCAAGACCGGUGCCAGCCGCCGCGGUAACACCGGCGGCCCGAGUGGUGACCGUUAUUAUUGGGUCUAAAGGGUCCGUAGCCGGUUUGGUCAGUCUUCCGGGAAAUCUGAUAGCUUAACUGUUAGGCUUUCGGGGGAUACUGCCAGUCUUGGAACCGGGAGAGGUGAGAGGUACUACAGGGGUAGGAGUGAAAUCUUGUAAUCCCUGUGAGACCACCUGUGGCGAAGGCGUCUUACCAGAACGGGUUCGACGGUGAGGGACGAAAGCUGGGGGCACAAACCGGAUUAGAUACCCGGGUAGUCCCAGCCGUAAACUAUGCUCGUUAGGUGUCAGGCAUGGCGCGACCGUGUCUGGUGCCGCAGGAAGCCGUGAAGCGAG